GGGGCGUAGCGCAGGCUGGUAGCGCGCAAGUUUUGGGUACUUGAGGUCCCCGGUUCGAAUCCGGG
RNAcentral lists this transfer RNA (65 nucleotides) under Rhodospirillaceae bacterium. RNAcentral's name for it is "tRNA-Pro". It matches the Rfam family "tRNA", at positions 2 to 63 of the family's 71-position model. From Rfam's summary of the family: Transfer RNA (tRNA) molecules are approximately 80 nucleotides in length. Their secondary structure includes four short double-helical elements and three loops (D, anti-codon, and T loops). Further hydrogen bonds mediate the characteristic L-shaped molecular structure. tRNAs have two regions of fundamental functional importance: the anti-codon, which is responsible for specific mRNA codon recognition, and the 3' end, to which the tRNAs corresponding amino acid is attached (by aminoacyl-tRNA synthetases). tRNAs cope with the degeneracy of the genetic code in two manners: having more than one tRNA (with a specific anti-codon) for a particular amino acid; and 'wobble' base-pairing, i.e. permitting non-standard base-pairing at the 3rd anti-codon position. Lineage: Bacteria; Pseudomonadati; Pseudomonadota; Alphaproteobacteria; Rhodospirillales; Rhodospirillaceae. The record is from RNAcentral.